UUUCUGUCUAGAUUUUUUUUUAGAAGUGAAUAUUCUCUCAUGAUUUAAUUGAGUCAAAUGACUGAUGGUUUGAUUAUUUUUAUAUGGAUUAUUCAUCAUGUGAUGCAUCUUUUUGUCAUCGUUUGGUCAUGUCUCGAGUCUUUUGUUGCCUUGCUAGGAUGUUAAUGUACUGUACUUGUUUGCUCUCGAUUAGCCUCUGUUAAGUUUCUCUGUUUGUAGCUAAUUUUAGCUUAUUUUCAAGUUGUUCAAAAUCUCAUUUGUUUCAUUUAGUUUACAAUGUUUAUUUAGCAUAGAAUAUAUGUUCCAUGAUUUGCAGAAUGGGUCAUCUUCUAAAUUGUAUGUUCUGUUUCUUUUCUUUAAAUAUUUGGUGCACAAAGUAUUGUUUGGCAAUGAUUCAUGACUUAAUAUGAUUUUAACCUUUGGUCGGUGUUUGUAGAAGUUUUACUUAUUGCUAAUAUGUGUUGAUAUAAUUCGGGGCUAUUGAUUUCUACGAAUGCUAAUUUUUGUUCUCAUUUUGCUACAUGUGAACUCGUAUGGAGUCCAAGUUGGAUCCAAAUCCAUU
This 562-nucleotide long non-coding RNA is filed under the name Solanum tuberosum (potato). RNAcentral describes it as "long non-coding RNA (STUB_LNC009372)". The record is from RNAcentral. Lineage: Eukaryota; Viridiplantae; Streptophyta; Magnoliopsida; Solanales; Solanaceae.